This 92-nucleotide ribosomal RNA is filed under the name Escherichia coli. The record is from RNAcentral. Lineage: Bacteria; Pseudomonadati; Pseudomonadota; Gammaproteobacteria; Enterobacterales; Enterobacteriaceae.
GGCGGCAGUAGCGCGGUGGUCCCACCUGACCCCAUGCCGAACUCAGAAGUGAAACGCCGUAGCGCCGAUGGUAGUGUGGGUCUCCCAUGCGA